Molecule: long non-coding RNA, 296 nt
Organism: Telopea speciosissima
Lineage: Eukaryota; Viridiplantae; Streptophyta; Magnoliopsida; Proteales; Proteaceae
Exons: 2
Source: RefSeq, a predicted model, not a curated record
ACCUUCUGUCCGAAUCAAUACAUUCGAGUCUCAUAAUCACUUGUAAAACAAAAUGGAUAAUUGAUCAAAAAUGAGAAGAAAAUUGUGACUCUUAUUUCCGGGUGGCUUGAGCCAAAUAUGUUUUAUGCAGCCUGCUUGUGAAUUGGAUGGAUUGUUGAGGUAAAACUAGGUAAACGAUCCAUUCAGUCUUUCUUUCCUAAAAGAACUAUAGUAUUAUAAAGAAUGAAACACCAGAUAAGACGUUGAACUAUUAUGUACUAGCAUAGUGGCAUCCAUUUCUAACACACACACACACA